Non-coding RNA from Nomia melanderi (Alkali bee), 1239 nucleotides. NCBI's taxonomy places the organism in Eukaryota, Metazoa, Arthropoda, Insecta, Hymenoptera, Halictidae. The record is from RefSeq and is a predicted model, not a curated record.
UACCUGUUUGCUGACUUAGGCGCCGCUGAAGGUUUCUGCCCGAUUUCCGGUUUAUCCGGAGUCGGCUUGGACGGAUCAGGUAUCGGUAAGUUAGGCUUGUUACCAACAGCAUUAGCUAAGAGGAGCGCUUCGACGGGGGCGAACACGAAUACCACACCGUCCACGUGGACACGGAAAUUCUCGGUUCCGUUCUGUCGUUGAUCGUAAUGAUCGACGUCCGAGGAACUCGGCAGCACAGUUGUCGGAUCCACGAUCGUUGUCUCGUUCGCAACCGGUAAGCACUCGACCCUACUCGAGAUGAACACGACGAGAAGCAGCACCGUUUUGAAGACUCUCAUGUUGAUCGAUAGCAUCGAUAUGCGUCGCGAUUAUCGGUGCAAACGUACAGGGGUGGUUCCAGGGAUUCAAGAAGAUUCGUUGUUGCCGAGCGGUGCAAUUCCACGCGAGUUAAAUGAAAGGACUGCGACGGCUUUCGAUAAGAAAAAAAGAAAAAAAAACGAUUCCCGUGGCGUGUGGCGAGCAAUGAACGUCCUGACGAUGCGGAGGAUGAGCGAGGUGUGACGACGUCUCCUGCCGACCGGCGAUCCCGGUCCCCACCUGGCAUGGAAACAGAUCGUCAGGCAAGUUCAAGAACCUGCGGGCCACUGUGUGUACAUUCCCUUGCAUACACAGGCCGCACGGAACAUAUUCUCGGCUUGAAUCAAUUUUUCUAAAAGCUGAGACGUUGAUAUCUUAUUCGCGGGAAAUAUCGCGAAAGGGACAGUUCCCGCGAUAACACGCUUUUCACACUGAACGCAUCAACGGAAGUAGGAGAAUCCUAUUCUCUAGGAAAAGACUCGAGGAGUGCCCAUGGAAGAUGAAAAGGUUGGAGGAAACAUAAUGUACUGAAAGUAAUUAGCCCCAAAGGUAACAGUUCCUUCAAGUGCAUACAAUAUGAACUGGUAUCACCGAGCGAUAAGAAACCGAAUAAAUGACUGGGUGAAAAAUAGUAAAGCAUCAAAUAUGGUAUCGGUUCCAAUUAACCCCUUGAGUGACAAUAUCGUGUCAGACUCGCGGCAAAAAUUUUAAACAGAAUUUCUAAAACCUAAGUAUUAUUCAUUUUUAAAAAAUAUAAAUUAAGUAUUACUGCUCUAUUAUCGAUCACUCACAAUAUCGUGUCAGACUCGCAGCGAAAAUUAUAAACUGAACUUGAGAAACCUAAGUAUUAUUCAUUUUUAAAAAAUAUAUAUUAAGUAUUAC